AUUGAACGCUGGCGGCAUGCUUUACACAUGCAAGUCGAACGGUAACAGGUUAAGCUGACGAGUGGCGAACGGGUGAGUAAUGCAUCGGAACGUGCCCGAUCGUGGGGGAUAACGCAGCGAAAGCUGCGCUAAUACCGCAUACGAUCUGAGGAUGAAAGCGGGGGACCGUAAGGCCUCGCGCGAUCGGAGCGGCCGAUGUCAGAUUAGGUAGUUGGUGGGGUAAAGUCUCACCAAGCCAACGAUCUGUAGCUGGUCUGAGAGGACGAACAGCCAAAGUGGGACUGAGACACGGCCCAGAGUCCGACGGUGGGCAGCAGUGGGGAAUUUUGGACAAUGGGCGAUAGCCUGAUCCAGCAAUGCCGCGUGCAGGAAGAAGGCCUUCGGGUUGUAAACUGCUUUUGUACGGAGCGAAAAGGCUCUCUCUAAUACAGGGGGCUCAUGACGGUACCGUAAGAAUAAGCACCGGCUAACUACGUGCCAGCAGCCGCAGUAA
This 493-nucleotide ribosomal RNA is filed under the name uncultured bacterium. RNAcentral's name for it is "partial 16S ribosomal RNA". It matches the Rfam family "Bacterial small subunit ribosomal RNA", at positions 30 to 523 of the family's 1533-position model. The record is from RNAcentral.